RNAcentral lists this long non-coding RNA (41309 nucleotides) under Setaria italica (foxtail millet). Its description in RNAcentral is "long non-coding RNA (SITA_LNC004784)". The record is from RNAcentral. Lineage: Eukaryota; Viridiplantae; Streptophyta; Magnoliopsida; Poales; Poaceae.
UACAUCAAAUUCUCAAAAUAUUCUUUAAAUUUAAGUCAUAAACAUGCAUAGGAAAUCUCUACUCACAUGGUGUGUUUCAUGGUUCAAAUUUAACAGGUUUGCUACCAAAUAGAAGUCUACGAAACUAAGCCAGAUUUGCUAUUAGGUAGGGGCAUGGAGAUCAUAAACUAAGAAUCCAAUAGCUCAAAUUAGAUAGGUUCUUGGCAAAUUUGGGGUUCGGGACUGAGAUGCAUUAAGGUCACAUUUCAAUCGUACGUUGCACCGACAAGCGCCAAGGGCAGUGGUACCCUGCUGCGAAGAUAGGACCAACGUGGCUCAAGCACAGGCCAUCUGUUAAUGAACAAUGUAUUAAUAGUCAAUCAAUGAAUUAUUUUAUAAAACAAAGCAAGCAAAUCGCAUCGAGGAACUUCAAAGAAUUACCUGUUUGGCUUCUUGUAGCUAGCCUCGUCAACAUCAGACCUAUGAAGAGCACAAAAAAUAAGUGAGCUGAAGAUCACAAGUAGAAGCCUGGAGCCACUUGACCGGCUUAUGCAUUGUAUUUGGCUCUUAGCUUAUUUAGGUACCGGAACUUUAGCUAAAGGUCGGCCAACUAUCCCCUUAAGAAUAGGAUAAAAAUCAUGCAACAUCUGUUCAAACAUUGUAAUAUGCCCAAACAAGACAUGUAUUGCUAAUAUGGUUAAAAGAAAAUGUAAAAAUAAGAGUUUCCAACAAAAAGUAAAAUGAACCAAGAUAGAAUCACCAAACUGACCCUAUGUUUUGCAAUUACCACCAAAAGUUUUGUUGGAAGAGGGGACAUAAUCACACUAGUCGAUGAGAACCAAGUGCAAUGUCCUAACACAAGAGUAUCGUGUACAUGAAUAGUGAUAGUUAAGUCUAGUAGCUCUAUAUAGUAGAUGCUCUUUAGAUGCUUUUAAACCACCUACGCAUGGUUGGCUAUAUAUAUACCCCAAACUGAGCUAUUGUCCCUGUGGUUAAUGGAAAGAGAUCUUUGGGCUAACAAAUAGCACUUGCUGACUAUUAAAAAAAAGAUGUGUAUAGGCAUACCUUUCAAAAAGCCUCAACCUUUCCAGAACAAUAGACCUUGGUAGAUAAUGUGUUUCUUCCUUACCAUGGAAGUUCAUGCCAAUGAAAUUCCCAUCAAAAUCAAUCAGGGGGCCUCCAAUACCAGCCUAGCACAGAAGCAAAUUGACACGUGAACAGAUAAUAUUUAUUAUUUCUAAUACCAUGCAAAUGCAGAUGCAAGUGAUAAUUUAAGUUGCUCAUAAUCUGAUGCAACUAUUUGUUUCAACCAUAAAUGAAAUCAACAGUGUACCUUUGUGACUUUACAAGUGGAGAUCAUAAGCUCUUUGCAGUCGAGAUUGCCUUCUUUGUCAGCCACUUUCCCACUUGUGGCCAUUAAUUUGCCUGAUUCAAAGAUACGUCCUACAGCUACUACCUCCAUAUGGGGUUCAAUUUGCCUAUUGUUGAAUUCUGCGGUUCGAAGACAGCGGAAACCCAUGACACUGACCACAGCAAUAUUAUAACUCAAAUUGUAAUGUUGCAAUGUCCCUUCAGCAACUUGCUUAUUUGGAAGGUACACUUUAAUCUGCUACGAAUGAGAAAGUGAGAAUUAACCAGUAUCUCAAAUGAACAGACAAAGAAGUACAUAACUGUUUGCAGUACGAACCUUCAAGUUAUCAGCAAUCUUGUAUUCAUCAGCAGAAGUUCUAACCAAACUUGCUGAAGUCAAAACCCUUGAGGUGGAUUCAUUGAAGCCUAUAAAUAUACCAGUGCAAGCAAAAAACCUUUCUUCUCCUACAAAGAAAAAUUGUUGCAACCGUAGUCAGUGAUGUAAUAGAGAAAGCAAACAUAUAUGAAAAAGUAAAUUAUCUUAUGCAAUCACCUUUGAAUGAAGCAAGUGAGACAACACUUCGGGAUAUACCUGAAGCAACCUUCUUACUGAGUUUGCUCCAUGUAUCUUCAACAAAUUCCUCUUCAAAAGUAUUAAUCAAGCGCAUACCCCCUGGGUAAAAAAACAUAGUAUAACAGUUGAGUGCUAGAAUAGACUGUCAAACUGUGAAACAAAAUUAGUCAGAAAAAGCAAAGCAAUAAUUGCUCACCCUCAAGCCUAAUUGGCAUAGGAUAAUUACGGGACUUUAGAUCAUUUCUCACAAGCUCCGUGAAAUCUGGUGCAACACGGUGAAGUGAUUAAUGUGGGGUUCACUGAUACUAUAGCUAGAAAAACUGAAAGCAAUGACUGACCAUCAACUGGUAAUGGAUUAGGAUAAAGCAAGGGCCAGAGUUCCUCUUCUUCAGAAUCUGGUGCAUCAAGCUGAAGUGAAUCAAUGACCAAGUACCAGUAAUGAUAAACAAGCAACAUUAUAACAUGAUGACAGUGUGCACGAUAAUUUAAUAACAUUAGAACUUAAGUGGCCCGUGUUUCGGUUAAAAAAGGAAGUGACUCAGCUUGAUUCACCUUCUGAAACACUCGCAAAGGAUAUGAAAAGCUGAUUCUUACUUUCACUAUCCUCAUAUGACCCGUGACUUCUCCCUUUAAAGUUAAACCUCGACUAUGGUGAGCUGUGCCAACAAUGGGACCAGCCAUGACUCAAAGUUGGACCUCAUCCUUAAUAAUCUGAACGACCCUUUGCAAGUUGCAAGCGGUGAUACCCGAUGUUUCCAAUAUAUCCAAGCCCCCAAGGAGUUCAAACCAGCCUCCAUAGAACUUGCCACUAACUUAAUAGCUCCAGACCACCGAUCAAAGAACUGCAUGAUGUAGGGGUGACAGGUCGGGGAGACCAAACAGUAUAAACAAGAGUGACCAGACUUCUCUUGAGAAGAUACAGGAGACUAUGAUGCGGUGGAUUAUCCCAUCUUCCUGGUCACAGAGCAGGCAACGCUCUGGAUGUGGUAGUUCCCAUCGUGCUAGGCAGUCAGCAGUCCAACAUUGACUAUGGGCUACUAACCAGAGGAAGAAUUGGCUGUAAUGACCAUGACUAGUAUUGAUAAUAAGUAACCAUCAUCACGCAAACUCCAAAAGCCACAUACCAAGACAUGUAUCUGUAUCCGGUAUCCGGUACAUGGUGGAUACAUCACAGAUACAUAAGUAUUGGGAAAACAAAGAUUUUAAUUGCUGACACAUAUUCGGCACUUGCUUGGUGGAUACUUCAUGGAUAAAGCCCCGCCGCCUAGCCACAACCUAAAACUUAACGACAAUAAGACUAAGGGGCUGUUUGACACCGGUAACUAACUUUAGCCCUAUCACGUUGGAUGUUCGGAUGCUAAUUAGGAGGACUAAAUAUGAAUUAAUUAUAAAACUAAUUGUAUAACCCCUAGGCUAAUUCGCGAGAUGAAUCUAUUAAGUCUAAUUAAUCCAUCAUUAGCAAAUAGUUACUGUAGCACCACAUUGUCAAAUCAUGGACUAAUUAGACUUAAUAAAUUUAUCUUACGAAUUAACCUCCGUCUGUGUAAUUAGUUUUAUAAUUAGACUAUAUUUAAUACUUCUAAUUAAUAUAUGAAAGUUAGCCCCUGUCAGGCAAACAGGUCCUAGCACAGUACGUCUUGGAACUCACGCGCUUCCCCUUACUACUGCUGGGUGACCCCUACCGCCUCACGUAAGCCAGACCAGACCACCGCACGCUUCCCCUUACUACUGCUGGGUGACCCCUACCGCCCCGACUCAUCAGUGAGUACAUCCGGUCAUCCCCAUUUAUUAAGACAGAGAACAAGUGCAAAUUCUUCGCUUGGGCAAUGAUACAAAUUUUUUUUCCCAAAGCAGGCAUUCUAAAUGUCAAGGGAUGGCCUCAUCAGCCGCAUUGCCCACUUUGGGCCUGUUUGUUUCCACCCUCCUAAACUUUAGCUCCUAAAAGUUUUUAGGCACCUCCUAAAAGUAUGUUUGGUUCCACCUCCUAAAAGUGACUAAAGGCAAUUAAUGAAGUGUAAAAUACCCAAGAUGCCCUUCCUCCAUGCCCCUGCAUGCCCCUCUACCGGCGCCGCACCGCCCCUCCGCCGGCGCUAGGCUCGUCUGUUGCCGGCCCCUGCACUGCCCCUCCGCCGACUCCGCCCCCUCCCUUCGAAUCCCAGCCGCCGCGCCCCUCCCCUCCUCUUCUUCCCCGGCACCGCCGCCCCCCUCCCGUUCCUCCCUCGCCCGGAUCCGGCGACGGGGGAUCUGGCGGGGGAGCGCCCGGCCGGCCUGUGCAGCGGCGCAAGGGAGCGGGGGCGGCGGGGGUAGGGGUGCCGUGCAGCGGCGGCGGACGGCGGGAAGGACGCCGCUGGCGGGGGCCGAACGGGGGAAGACGCCGGUGGCGGGCGGAAUGCGGGGGCCUAGGCAGGAGGGAGGGUGAGAGAGAGAGAGGAGGACAAUAAAUGAGGGCAAUGGGGUUCAGGAUGGGCUUUAGGAGGUUUUAGGAGGGGUGGAGCUCCUAAAGAAAUUGAAGCCUCCUAAAAGUUUUUAGUCACUUUUAGUCAGUGUUUGGUUCUUUAGUCACUUUUUAAUCACUUUUUAGGAGCUAACAUUUUAGGAGGGUGGAAACAAACAGACCUUUGCCGUAGCCGUCCAGAGACCAACUUUCGCUACUAUGCCCUUUCGCCAAAGUUUGUAUGGGAAACAGUAGCCAUGGCCCGAUGGGGCCUUUGGUGAAUUUGAGACGCUUGGCUGUUUUGGCUCAUUAAAAUGAAAGCUUUGGAAAAGAGAAAAAUGGCCUAAUCACAAGCUAAUUUUUUUAUUCAUACUAUGCUUUAGUAUUUGCAUUUCAAAAAAAAAUACCAAAACAUAUCUGUGUCUUGGAUAUUUCUUGAAAAUUCCGUGUAUCCAUAUCUUUGCUGCAUAGGAUGACAGUUUGCAUGAUAAUUUAAUGACGUUGGAUUUUAAAUAGCCCAGCUUGACUCACCUUCUGAAUAACUUGUAGAGGAUAUGGAAAGCUCCUGAUUCUUGUCCCUCUCCCCAGUUGAGCUACCUAAAAUAUAUAAAAAAAGGAAAGAAGAAUAAACAUAACUCAAACAAUGGAAUGCGCUAUCAAGAGCAUUAGCAGUAGAUUCUCAUACACAACCAUGUAUUUACAAUGAACCAAUUUCGACAAAACGUUAUUACUCGUGUGCGUGUAGGCACAAUUACGCGUGAAACAGAGGCCUAGUGCUUUGUUUAGGCCCUAGGCGGUAAAUUAAUCGCGCAAGCGGGCACAAGCACAGGCACACGGUCUGGAGAGGCGGGGAAAAAGAGUGCAGGAACCGAAAAGAGUUGCCUGGCGCACAGAAAGAAUUACCGCGCCACGCCGCGCCACUGCAUCUGCGCGUGGGAAUCCCGUCACGGUGCCACCCCCACGUGCAUAUCCUCCCGCCGUCCGCGCAGUACUAACCCGUGGCUUCGAGGGGAACCCCGACCACAUGUGGACUUCUCCUACCACAUGUGAACUUCUUUGCAUAAAAUUGAAUUGCUCUAUGUCCUACCUCUCUCACCCUGCCUCUCUCUGCUACAUGCAUUCAUCAGAUUUGGGCGAUUUGGCCAAUCUAAACAAAACUGUCUUGGUGUUUUUUAAUUUCGUCUGAAUCUGAUUACUGCUCGUGUGCUUGUGCUCUGAACCUGACAAAUGAACAUAUGAAUGUAUGAAUUGUGAUGCAAAUCCACCAAGUGCUAGACAAAUGCCUUCUGAUCAUGCUCCCAGCAGCAUAAAACACAAUCACUUAACCGCAUUUAAUCCACGUUGAGUCAACCUAGGCGCUAGGCAGUGGUCUAGUGCCUAGCACCUUUUUGAGCCUUGUAAUGAACCAGUUAGCACAGAUUAUAUGUUAGUACAGCAAUAAGUUCCACGGGUAGUGUCGAUUUUUUAUAUCAUUGUCCAAAAAUGCAGUAUUUCAUACUUCAAAGCAAAAUAGGUUUAUUAUCCCCAAUACAUCCCUAAUAAAAAUCCACUUUAUGGAUAGAGGGAGCACCACAAAACUUACCUAAAGCUACAGGACAGGAAUCUAUAAGUGAUGAUUAAUGAUUAAAGCUGGUGAAGAUGAAUUUCCUGACACUAAAUAAUUUAAACCAUUAAGAGUGAUCAUGCUUUAAUUUACCUUCUACAUUGGGCAUAAGAAAUUCCUGUAUCUCACAUGGGCUUCUUUCAAUUGUGCUAUCACCUCCAUGCUUGAUUUCAGCACUGCAUCAGAAAUGUAGUAAACUCAUCUAGAACAAAUGCACAGAGCUACCAAUCCCAAAUUAAAGCAAACAUUGCUUCUUAUGGAUACAAUAGUAUUCAGCUACAGAUGUGCAAACCAAAUUGUUGUGCCAAAUGAACUAGCAAGCUAGAAUCAGCUCAAAAGUUUUUUGAUAUAGCAUGCCUUAUCCAGUACACACUACACUGAUGUAUAAAUUUGGAACUUGCUUCUGGCCCAAACAACUGCAGUUGCCAAUGUAGUAAGUUGUUGCUUACUUCAUUUUAUACAUCCACUUAUCUUACGUCAACUGAUUCCAUAUUCCAGCUUGAACAGUAAAAUCACAAGUAGCCCAGGUGCUUUACGGUCGUUCAGAAGUACGAACUGAACCAAGUUUAGUAAAGAAAUGUGUGGGUGUACAACCUCAACCCCUAAGGUUCGAGUCCUCUUCAACUCAAAUUUAGGUUCCUACUUCUUAUCUACAAUGCCAAGUUCCUCCUAGGAAGGCCGAGUUAAUUUUUUUAUAUGGUCAUUUGGAAGUUGCUGACAUCUCAACUUCAAUGUGUGUAUCUACAACUGAGCAUUCUCAUUUAGAUGCCUAUCUUGUAAUUCAUUGUCUUUAUCUGGUUAUUGGUACUAGCAUUAGUUGCCUUUUAGCACAUUUUCACCUUUAGUUUCAUUAAAAGACUUCUGUUUUUCGAGAACUAGUUGAUAGCAUGUGACUUUUCAUCUGUUUUUAGCUUUGGGAAAUGGUUUAUUGGUAGGAUUGAGCUUCAGGAUUUCCAAGCCUAGUCUCAGACCUGGCUUGGCCCAGUGUUCAGACAGGUCUAUAUGAAAGUACUCCCUCCGUCCCAAAAAACAAGUCAUUCUAGUUUUAUCCUAAGUUAAACUUUUCUAAGUUUAACCAAAUUUAUGGCGAAAAGUAUUAACAUUUAUGACAUGAAAUAAUUAUACUACGAAAAUACAUUUCAUGAUGAACCUAAUGAUACUUAUUAGGUAUCGUAAAUAUUGAUAUUUUUUUAUAUAUACUUGAUCAAACUUGAGAAGGUUUGACUUAGGACAAAAAUAGAAUGACUUGUUUUGCGAUGGAGGGAGUAUAGAAGGCGUACCAGAGUAUCCCAGCAUGGACCAAGCACUUAUAAAUUGUGUCCACUGGUAGGAAUGGAGUCAUCAUCUUCUUAGAAUAAAAGUUCAUGCCAACAAAGCUGCCAUCCAAAUCAACAAGGGGCCCUCCAGCCAUUGUCUGGAACAAAAAAAUAAUGUUAGGCUAAGCUAAGCCAAGCAUGAAAAAUAACAAGUUCAUAAAGAAAAGAAAUGUUAAUGCCCCAAAAGUAAGUGCAUGCAUUGAUAAAUUAUGCCACCAAUAUCAUGAAACAAUUAAUUAUUUCCAGUAUGUUGAGAAGAGGCAAGAGAAAUCAGCAGCGAACCAUAGUGAGUUUACACGUGGAGAUCAUAAGGUGUUUGCGUAAAUCUCCACUGGGCUCAUCAUUCACUGUCCCAUACAAGGCCUUCAAUUUGCCUGUCUUGAAGCAACGCCCUAAAGCUACUACCUUACACCCAAAAUGUAUGAGGUGAGCAAAAUGUGCAGCUCGAAAACCAGGGUAAUGACUGAUGUUGACAACAGCAACAUUGUAAUUUAAGUCACAGUGCACCAACCACCCAUCGGCACUUCGGUUAUUUGGAAGGCUCACUUCAAUCUGUAACGAUAAAAGCAAAACAAUAGCACAGAAUUAUUGCCAUACAUUAAAUAGGCAAGAAAUGGAAUACAUAAGAAAUUGCAAUACCGACCAUCAAGCCUGGAAAAAUCUUGCACCCAUUAUCAAUAUCCAGAGAUCUAACCAGAGUUGCUGAAGUUAGGACACUUGUACCACAUCCCUCGUUUUUGACAACUAUGCCUGUGCAGACAGCAUGAAUCCGAUCUCCUGCUUAAGACAACACUUAAAUCUUUAUAACUGAUGAUCAGAUGCAAAUAAGGAAAGCUGAUUUGUAUAAUCACCAUUGAAUGAAGCCAGUGAGACAACAGUUUCAGAUAAAUUUGAAACAACUUCUUGACUGAGUUUACUAAAGGUGCCUUGACUAGAAUUACUUAAGCUGCCAAAUUCCUCUUCAAAAACAUUGUACAACCACAGGUUUCCUAGUCAAGGAGCAUUGUACAACAAAAUUAUUACUGUUAUAAUAUAAUUGCAUAAAUACAUGCAAAAGAGGUACAACUGGCAAAAGUGAAUCAAUAACUCGUCUUUUUUCCACUUUUGCGAGCUUUCUUCUUUUUAUUCGAGCUUGAGCUGUCACAUAUUCUGAUAGACAUCUUUCCAACCCUGAAGCAGAAAGAUAAGAUCCCAAUAUUGAGUAAUCAUCAGCAUGGGAGUUAUUUGUUUUUGUUUUAUUUUUGUGCACAAGUAACUCGUAAAAUUGUAAACUGUUUUUAUACGUUUAGGAGUGACUCUGCAGCACAUAGGUAUACAUGUAACAGAGUAAGACAAGACAAUCUAGUAAAAAACUUGGAACAUCAACAUGGUGCUCCAAAAAUCUGCACCAGCAAAAGAAAAACUAGCCCUUUAGUUCAAAUGAAUAAGACCUGAAAAGUUCAUAUAUAAGAUAAAUAAGGUGAUUUGAACUGGAGGUACGGGCGAUACUAAUUUACAAUGUGGGCAAUGAUGAAAGCAAGUUCAGAAUAACUAUUUAUCUACUAAACGUAGCAUCGUCAUGGUAAUGUAUAAAUUUGCAGCAGAUUAAAAGGCCAACUAAACACCCAUAAUCCAACCAGAUCUAUAACCCUGAAAGCUAUAUAGAUGAGCAGAAUAGUUACUAAUGAUACACUAGCUCACAAAAGAAGCCCAAGGUAGAAAUAACACAAGAAAAGUACAGAUUGGCGACUUGAUGUCAAGCAAAAGCGGUAAUUUCUAGCAGAAGUGGAUUUUGCUCCAGUGCAUUUCAAGCAAAAGUACAGUAUGCAACAAUGAAAUGGUCAGCCAUAUAAUUAGGCAAUUAGCAAUAACAGUGCCCCCAGACCUUAGCAAUGUCUUGAUCAGUACAACUAGCAAUGUGUCACAAUGACAUUGUCAGCAGCAAGCCAGUAUAUCAUUUGCAAUCGCAAAGAAGCCUCACUGACAUGGGGCAGCGCACAUGGCAAUCACAUAUCAACUUAUAUGUGUUUUUUGUUCCUUUCUUGCUUGCUGUCUAUAGUUCAGCAGAUAGACAGGGGAUGCCAAGACAGGGAUGAAUGACUCAGGACAGGGAGUGUCGUUUAGCAGGGGCGGACCCAGUAUAGGACAUGGGUGUACAUGUGUACAUCCAAUAACUGUUGCAGAAAGAUCGAAUUUAGUAGGUAAAAUCAUGGUCAGAUCCGAAUACAAAUACCAUACGUUAGGGUUUUGGGUGUUUGAUUUCGCGCAGCAGGAUGGGAAGGGAGGGGAAUAGGCAGGCAUACCCCUGUCGGAUGUUCGUCACUGGCGAAGUGCCCGUCGCUCGACGAACAACGGGCAGCGCAACUCGCCCUGUCGUCGCCGCUAGGAAAGGAAGACCGAGGCCGAGAGAGAGAGAACAGAGAAGAAGAUGAGCGGGAAGGGUUAGGUUUCGGUACUCUGUUCAUUCACGCCCCUUCCCUACACGGGGUUGGGUUAUGCCACAGGUCGGCGUGGUGGCCCAAUGGGCUUAGCCCAGUUCUUGACAUGGCCUCUGGCCCGAGCAUUACAAAGGAUACUUAGCCAAGUUCAUGUGACCCUGUAGCCGGAAAACCUAUGCAUCUUCCGGGAGUUUUUUUUCCAAAGGAACUUCCACUUUAAGAUUCGUAUGAGAAUAUGAACCAACACUUGCUGAUCUUUUUCUUCCCCCGCUUCUUCUCCUCCGCUACAGGAUGAGGUUGGCCCGGCAGCGGCGGCGGUUCGGCCGUGGCAGCGAUACGACGCUUGGGUGGUGGUCGAGGCUGCCACCACCACCGGCGGUAGUGGUGGAGUUAGGGUUAGGGUUCAGGGUUUUCGGGGAGCUCCAGUGUCUGUCAGGCUUAGAGGAGGAGGUCAAGGCCGGGGGGGUAGGUCUGGCGGUGGUGACAGUUGGGCCAGCUGCGAAGGUGAGGCGGCGCGAGAGCGCCGCCAGCCAGCUAGGGCAGGAAAUCCAGCGGGCGAUGGACGGCAAGCUUCGGAUUAGGAAUGGUGGGGUGGGGAUGGCAGUGGAGGGUAGGAGAACGGCGCGGUAGCGUGGCAGCCGCCGGCUGGGGUAGAGGACGAGGCGACGGCGAAGGCGGGGAGCGUGGGGAAGAAGAUGAGGAAGGGGAAAAGAUGGGCCUCGAUGGGUCAGAAGUUUCAUCCCUUAUGGAAGGUAGAUAGGAGCCCCUAGCCCUGAUAGGAGGGUGCUGCCGCACCAGCUGGACUCGAGUUGCAGCUGGGCAGGGGAGCGUGAAGGGCGGUGCACGGGCUGACAACGCGGAGAGCGGCGGGCGUUGGGGGAGCAAAGGGAGGAGAUGGGUCACGGGGAGGAAGAAAACCGCAACAGACGCUGUCACAUGGGCCGAACCGGUUCGACCGAUUUCGUUGGAGAGAGGGGAAAGACUCCAUAAUUUUAAAGUCCAUCGGCCUAGAAAUCUAAAAUAAAUUAAUAUUUCAACAUAACAAAUUUAACAACUUUAAAAAAUCAGACUAACAUUCGAAAAUAACAUAAUCAACAUUUUUCAAAACAUAUAUCAAUAUUUUGUAGAUAGUAGUGCAGUCAACAUUUUUUAUAGGCUAGAACAGAUCCAACAUUUUCUAGAGCAAAGAUCAACAUUUUUGAAAUGCUACUUUUUUAUUUCUUCUUCUUCCCCAAAGUCGGUAGCUGGAGGGCCGCCGUGGCAAGCACAAGCACUAGCAGCGCGUGGUGGAGAUAGAUGACAUCGAUAGGUCACAGUGGUGGAUGCGAUGGAGAUCAACGCUCACAACAAGCACGGGUGGUGCAUGGUGGAGGUGGCGCUAAUGGACGGCAACAAGGGCGGGACGUGCAGCGAGAACGAGCUGUCCAAAUCUGAUAGAAAUAUUUAUUAUUUUUUCUAAAGUAUUACCUUAACAUAAUAUUUCAAUUUUCACCUCUAAAACCUUUUACCUUGUAAAUAAUACUUUUAGAAUAUCAUUGAAAUCAAAUAGAUAUAUACUUCUUUCAAGAUAAUAUAAAAACAAUAUAAAGAUUUUUUCUUUUAAUGAUGGUUCUAGAUAAAAGAUUUUUUAACAAAAAUAUCGGCAUCGCUACAUAAAAAAGAAAGUGAACAUUUUUUAAAUAUGAUAUUAUAAAAGCACUAGUUAUUAUUGUCAUCUGGCUAGCGCAACCACACUGUGAUCUAUUACAUUUUUAACAAAGACAACCAACUAGCAACUUCCUUAUCACUAAAGUUUGAGAGUUGCCAUGUUAUCUCCCGAAAUAUUUGGUGACCCGUGGAACGUAUAUUUUAGUUAAAAAUUUAAAAAUGUAUUUAAACAAACACAACUUGCAAAACAUAUGAAUAUUAUGUUCUUCUAUAUAUUUUGUCAUCAGAUGAUCUACUCAUAGUAAUCCUUGAGUUUCCUAAUAAGAGAUAGUUGAAAGUUUAUCUCACAAAGUGAAAAGCACAUAUUGAUUGUCUAUCCGGAUAAAAACAAAAGAAAUUCACACGUGCAUUUUAUGAUGUCUGACAUGCACAAACCUUUUCUUUGUUCCAUUUGGCCCUUUCUUUGUUUCACUUGGUCCGAGUCUGCCCUUCCUAGCCUACAGAAUAUUUACCUUUUUAUCUUUAGCCUUCAAUUUUGCUUCGAGCUCAUCCACCCAGAGGCACGCUUGUUGUGUGAACUUCAAAUCAUAUGCCAAUUCAUCCAAUGAGAUGAUUGUACCAAUCAACUGCCACUUAUUGUGCGAACUUCAAAUCAUAUGCCAGCUGAUCCAAUGAGGUAAUUGUACCAAUCAACGAGCCCUCUAGAUCAAAAAUAGUGGCACCAAUUAUUUGUCGCUUGGCUACCUCCAUUUUUUCUUUGGUUACCACUUCAAGACAUACUACGGCUAGACAAGAUAGAGCAAAUUUUCUUUUACUUUCAGAAACAACCUUCUUCAACCUUACAUCUGAAGCUUUGUAGCUUGGAGAACUGCAAAAAUAGCAUUUUUCUUUAGCACAACUGCAAAUGCAAGCAGUUUUAGCCAUACACAUGCCCUUAUCAUCAGCAUAAAGAUCUUGAAACAGUAGAAAGGCAUAGCUAAAUAUUAAUACGGCACAUAGGAAAUAACGUGAGAUCCUAGUCUUCUCUACUCUCUCCAAUCAGUGAAUUGGAUGAAUACAAAAGGAUUUUGCACUGCAUUUUGCAGCUUUUCUGGAUUUAUGUUGCUAUUUUUUAUAACCAAAGUACAUGAUCAAGGUGGCUAUAGUGGCUCUUGAAAACUAGCCCACAAUGACCAGCUGAGUACACUUCUUAACUUCUAGGACAAAGCUUGAGUGCUUGAUUGAAAGUAAAGGACUUGGACAACACUGCCAAACAAAGUCUAAUAGACUUUUCUGACUCUACUCUGAUAAGCCAACAAAUAAAUCUUCAGAAAUGGAAGCAAAGGCUAAACCAAAUAGGGGUUAUUAUUCCUGAAACCAUACAAGGAAAAACUGAGUAGUGAAUUAGUUAGAGUACUUUACAUUAUAGUGCUUGACAUGAAGUUAAACCCACUAUAGCCCCCUUCUACUUCUGCAACUGUGAAAAUCUCAUCCCUUCUUGGUUCACAUAACAAAGAAGGCAUCCUCAACCAGCAUUCAUCAUGCUCAAAACUAACUAGGGAGAUUUCAACCACAACUACCGUAACCAGCCGCUUCUAUUUUAGCGAGAUUUCAACCACAAGUACCAUAACCAGCCGCUUCUGAUUUAGCGAGAUCUUAACCACAACUACCAGAACCACCCGCUUAUACUUUAGCCUUUGGGGCCGGUAAAGGAUGAUGUGGCAGGGCAGGGCAGAGUUGGGUGGUAUGGCUGAGCUGAUAAAGUUACAUCAAAUUCUCAAAAUAUUCUUUAAAUUUAAGUCAUAACAUGCAAACCGAUAGGGAAAUCUCUACUCACAUGGUGAGCUUCAUGGUUCAAAUUCAACAGGUUUUAACAGGUUUGCUACCAAGUAGUAGUCUAUGAAACUAAGCCAGGUUUGCUAUUAGGUAGGGGCAUGGAGAUCAUAAACUAAGAAUCCAAUAGCUCAAAUUAGAUAGGUUCUUGGCAAAUUUGGAGGUUCGGGACUGAGAUGCAUUAAGGUCACAUUUCAAUCGUGCAUGGCACCGAAAAGCAACUAGGGCCGUGGUACCCUGCUGGAAGGAUAGGACCAACAUGGCUCAGGCAUAGGCCAUCUGUUAAUGAACAAUGUAUUAAUAAUUAAUCAAUGAAUUAUUUAUAAAAUAAAGCAAGCAGAUCAUAUCGAGGAACUUCAAAGAAUACCUGUUUGGCUUCUUGUAGCUAGCCUCAUCAACAUCAGACCUACGAAGAGCACAAAAACUAAGUGAGCUGAAGAUCACAAGUAGAAGCUUGGGGGCACUUGACUGGCUUAUGCAUUGUAUUUGGCUCUUAGCUUAUUUAGGUACCGGAACUUUAGCGAAAAGUCAGCCAACCAUCCCCUUAAGAAUAGGAUAAUAUGCCCAAACAAGACAUGAAUUGCUGAUAUGGUUAAAAGAAAAUGUAAAAAUAAGAGUUUCCAACAAAAAGUAAUACAAACCAAGAUAGAAUCACCAAGUGCUUUUAAUGAUGGUUCUAGAUAAAAGAUUUUUUUAACAAAAAUAUUGUCAUCGCUACAUAAAAAAGAAAUUGAACAUUUUUUAAAUAUGAUAUUAUAAAAGCACUAGUUAUUUUUAUCAUUUGGCUAGCGCAACUACACUGUGAUCUAUUAAAUUUUCUAUAAAGACAACCAACCUGCAACUUCCUUAUCACUAAAGUUUGAGAGUUGCCAUGAUAUCUCCCGAAAUAUUUGGUAACCUGUGGAACAUAUAUUUUAGUUAAAAAGUUAAAAAUAUAUUUAAACAAACACAACUUGCAAAACAUAUGAAUAUUAUGUUCUUCUAUAUAUUUAGGUCAAGAAUGGACCCAAAUGAUACUAGUACUAGGCAGAUCGAAUGUAGCCCAUCAACAAUCUUUCCCAAAUGGCAAACAUAUCUACAGGUCAAGCCGAUGACUAGUCUUGUACAAAGAUCACAUGGAAAAUAAGAAUACAAUUGAGAGAAGAGAAGGAGCUUUAGAGGUCACCUCCGUGACCCGAAGUUAGCGGUGGGGGACAAGGUCGAUGGACGGUGGCUGGCGGCGCAAGCACCCGAGAUCCGGCGUCGAGGGAAGAGAAGCGGGUGAGGCGGUGCCGAACCGAGGGAUCGGAGGGAAUUGCAGGGUAGAGUACCGCCAGAUCUGAUUAUUCGCCGCCACCAGCGGGGAAAAGGGCGAAACCCUAGGCUAGACUAGGCGAUGGGAAGAUAGGGGGUCCAAGAGGCGGUGCGGGCAACUUUUCCAUGUCUUCUUCUAUAAUUAAUAUAAUGUAAUAUAGCUGGCGCAUUGCGUGGCGGCUCGGGAUUGGUGAAAUCUGACAGGAGAAGUUUGAUUUUUUUAAUUUGUGUUAGUUAAAUUAAAUAAAUUUGUUCGUGUUGCGUGGCGGCUCGGGAUUGGUGAAAUCUAACAGGAGAAGCUUGAUUUUUUUAAUUUAUGUUAGUUAAAUUAAAUAAGAGCCUUGUUAUGGUGGUUGUACGAUACCAUCGUCAUGAAUCCAAUAGCUGAGAAAUAAGAGGUACUUCGAGGUACCUGUACUUAAAUUGGUGGGUUCGGUACCAAAUAAAGUGGGAUCAGUACCGAUUUUAAUUAUUUUUAAAAUUCAUAAAUUUAAUUUUUAAAUAGCAUUUGCAGAUCAACGGCCACAAAAAUUCAGAAAAAAUGGGUACCGGACGGUACCUCCUGGUACCGUUCAACCACAAUAAAAAUCCUCAUUAAAUAAACUUGUCACAUGCCACUUUGGUAAACUUUUUGUUCUUUUGAAAGGAAAGACUUUCAUUAAACAACGACCAAACCUGGCAUGUUUACCAGUUACAAACUCGUAUAUAUGCCGAAUUUCGGUUACGGCGCAGUCUGGGCGCGAAGCAGAUCCUCUACCUUGUUGACACGUCAGUUAUUAGCAUAUAAAAUAUACAUGAAACUGACAACGCAUAAUCAAUAUUGUAGUAUUUUUUUUAAAGAACACUAAUUGUAGAUAGCAAAUCAUUUAGACAAGUAGAUAGCAAAUCAUUUAUUUUGAAAUACUGAACCCUACCAUAACUAUUACAUAAGGUCAAUCCUGCAUCUACUUCCCUGCCGUUCAGAUUAUUAGGCUGCAAGGUAUUUAAUACAUGUAUGGACCAUAAAUCGUACUAACGAUUAAGCAUGAAUAUGAUCUUUGUAUUUUAUUUUGUUGCUUGUUGAGACACAUGACAAUACUUGUUCACAAAAGUAUCCGGUUGAAAGAAUUGACUGAAUCUUGCGUACAUAGGUGGUGAUUGGUUGCUUGGCUUAGUCCAAGCUUGACAAUGAGUUAGCCAUGGCAAGCCUUCGCCUGGCUAUGCUAGUACUAUACCUCCUUGUUUGGUUGUUGUGCUAAGCUUAGCCUGGCUUACGAAGAUCGUGCUGGUUGAUUGGCUUGCAUUGGGUAUAGCCACCUCCUGUGCUAUGCAGCGAGUUUACCAUGCACCUGUGUCCUCCUAGACAUUUCACCCAACACCUUGAGCGCAAGUACAUGAAACACGUUCAUAACUCAUAUCGAAGUAGUAAAUCUAAUUAUGUAGCUCUUACUGUUGUGCAUGCAUAUGCUCUAAAGACUGAACCUUGACACAGGCAAACCAAAAGGAAAUUACGCUAUCUCUGUUCACACACGCGAAGGAAAGAAAAAUAAAAAAGAACAGAGACGGAAGGUUGCAGAUCGAGAAUUACAAAAUUGAACCCACAUAACUUUAAAAUUGACUGAUGAGCAUCAAAAUCCAAUUCUCACAUGGUGAAUCGAAUCUAGGCACAACCAAAAUUGGAUUCAUCAUUGCUUCUCUGCGUGCUGCUUCGAGGAGCAGCAGCUUCAGUGACCUGGCCGCGGAGUUGGAUUUGACGGGGUCAUCACUGGGCUAGUGUUCCCUCCACCGAGAUGAAGAACACGGCGCAGAGCACAGUGACUCAGUGAGCGCCACCGCGGGGAGCUGUCCGGCCACGAGACCGACGAGGAUGAUUGGCACCAAAGCGACCCACGGCAAUGCGCUCUCUGACCGAUGGUGGGACCUUGCUCCCCGUGUCGGAGUCAGAGCAGCUCAGCCUAGGCGUCUUGGCCGGCGACUCUGCUCCCGAAUUGACGAGACUAGGCCGAGGCCGCACAAAUCCAGCUCCUGUUUAUUCGUCUCCGGUAGCGGCCGCCGACGUCAAUCUUGAACAGCGCCACUGACGCGAGAGUCGCCGCGACCACAUGCCGCUUGCUCUAAAUCAUCAGCAUCGCCGGCGCUAGGACCCCGCCCACCGCGAGAAGCUCCGGCCGGAUGCUGAAGGCGGCGCCUUUGGGACGAGUCAGAGCCGGCACCGUCGUGUCCUACCGAGCCACCGAAAGCGGCAGCCUUUGCUGGGGUGCCAGCCCCGCUGCUGGCGCAGAAGGUCGGCGGCGGAGGCAUGGUGGUGGACUGGUGAGGAGAUGCGGCACACGGUGAGGAGACGCAGUGAUGUGAGCGGAACUGAGACCUUUUGCGCCAGCGAUGCUUGUGCAGCCUGCAUAAGCUGGAAACGGAGGGGAUUUGUGUUCCUGCAUAGCUCCAUAUCCAUCCUAACAAUCACUACCUAGCAUUCAGUAGGCAGAAUUGGGGGCUUUUGAGCCUUACUAGACAGAAUGAAAUAGCAGUAGGCUGUGCAGCAGCUGUGCCUGCAAAAAUUAAUGCCAAUAUUAGCAUGUCUUGAACUGAUCAAGAUUAUUAGAAUAUCAGGAACAUGCUAGCAGAGAACUUAAACUGUAAAACAACUGAUAUUAGUAGAAUAAUUGAACCUUCUGUUCAAUUUGCUUAAUAUCUCAUCACAUUCUGAAUCAUAAAAAUCGAUCAUGAAAUUAAAACACAAAUCUACGUUUCAGAUAUGCAAGCACCAGGAUGUAAAAAAAAAUCAGAAAUUGGAAGAGAGAAGAUCUGCACCAUCUUCACUCUGUAUUUUGAAGUAAACAAAGAAGCAAGGAGCGCAAGGCAUUCACAGAAGCAAGCACCGACGCCACCUACUUUGCAAUAUGUGAAGUGGAGCUGAUCAGCUGAAUGCCGACGGGUCGAGACACUGCAAGAAACAAACUACUCAGCGUGAAAUCUAGCAAGCUGUGCAUCCAGAGAAGGGCGAGGCGGCGGUGGAAGAAUCAGCGCAGCCGAAGGCUUCGGCGCUGGGAAGGCGACUGGACGCCGGAAAGAGUCGCCGCGCCCUUCACCUCCCGCGCAGUCCGCUACUCCGUUCUGCUCCCGCACUGCCGCCGCGUUUAGCAGCUUCCGCGGCCGCACCGCAGCCGCCUUGCUCAUCUCAUGCCGCAGGGGAUGCAUCGUGUGGUUGGGGGAAGAAGGGAUGGGGGCGAGAGAUUGGAGGGUACCGGGGCAAGACGGACGGGGAGGAACCGAGGAAGAAAUUUUGGCGUGGAAGAUUGGCGUGCGAGCAUGCUCUUUGCCGCCAUCAACGAUUCCGCCUUCCGCACCAGAUCGAGGAAGGCCGUCGUCGGUUGGGAACGAGGGCUACAACGCGGCGAGGACUGGCGAUACGAUCUGGGACAACGAGCCUUUGCCGGCGUCGCGCGAGACGACGACACCAUCCGCUCUCAUCAUUGUUGAUGGUCCACGUAGGACGGAUUGGCUGACCUGGUGGUAUAUAGAUAUCUUCUAAAUACCGUUGUAUAUGCCCUUCUAUGUUAUAGUUGGUACUCAAAUUUAAUAUUUCAUAUUGCAGAUAACUAGGUUUUAUUUUGGCGACAGAGGGUCUAACCCUUCUUGCAGGCCUGAAAAAUUCUACAACAAAUGAACAAAUGAUCUAUCACCAAAAGACAAAACGACAGACAUGGCAAGAAUAAAUUUGCCACAUGCACGUUAAUUUUAUUCAUGGAGAAAAUAUCAUGUCAUCAACUAUAUACUUACCAUAGCAUUCUAUAUUUUCAUGCAGGACUCUGGAUGUGCAGAUGAUCGAAGGAUGAACGAACUACAAGAUUUGCCCACAAGAGAAGUUUACUAUUUCAGAUUUCAUGUAUAUUUUAUUUUGGUCUGUGAACAUUGUGUUGUUGUAUUGUGUCAUUUUCUUCUCUGUAUAGAAUCUUUUUAUUUAAUGAACAUAUUUACUAUGUUGAACUCUUGUUGCACGUGUCAUGCUUGAUGCAUAUAACAUUUAUCACCUUACCAACAGUGAUCAGCAAAAGCCAAUUGAAAAUACCGUACCCAUAUACGAUUCCAAAAAAGCACAUAUUCUGUAUUAUACAGCACAUAUAUGCGUUGUUGAAAUACUUUGGUAGGUUGCAAAAUCCACUUACCAACGCAUUUAUAUGCAUUUUAUAUAGGACAUUACAACGCCACAUAUGGCAACGCAUAAUAUGCGUUGGUAUAGAUCCACUAGAAAUUUAUGAAGUUGUGACAGUCUGACUGUAUGGGGCCAGCUAGUGCAGUUCACUGAGGAAGUACAUGUUUUGUGUAUGCAUGUGUGUGUGUGUUUGUGUGUAUUAUGGCUGCUAGCAGCAUAUAUGCAGUUGUAAAUGUUAUUAUUCUCUAGUACUUCCCAUGGAUACUAUGAUCGUUUUGUUGAACCAUAAUCAAUGUCUUUAAUAAACAGAUUUCAUUCUUAUUUUGCUUUGAUGUUCGGUAAAUAAUUUAUCCGUGUUGCAACUUCUUGACUCAAAUUUUGUACAUCGAUGAGCUUGUUUUCACAAUUGGAGAACUCAAGUUCUGAGGGGUACAUGGAUCUCCUUUAGCUUCGUCGUGCUAGUGCAUCACAUAUGUGGCACAAUUUGGCAUGUGAACUCCUGUUUAUUUGCUCGUCAAUAAUGAAAUGGUCUAUUAGAAGGUACCUUUUUACUUGAAUGUUGUAAAGUGUCGAGUACCUAAACCGUUGUCCAUUUGGCCCACGGCUCACGGCUCGUGGGCCAGCCCACGGCAUGGCAUUUUGGCCCGGCCUAGGCACGGCAUGGUGGCCUUGCAGGCCGGCCCGGCCCAACCUACACCACAGGAUGGGCUUGGGCCGCUGCCUCAACCCGUGGGCUGGCCCGGGCACGGCACGGCCUAUUUAGCCCAUGGACUGCAACGGGCGGCAUGGCCUGUUUAGGCCCGUUUGGCCCACCUCCAUGUCCAUCUAAAACUAGCGGCCUGCUCCUCCCAAACCAACCCUAUCUGCUUCACGGCACCUUCAUCCCACCAACUGCCGCCUCCCUCGCGACUCACCCUCUCCCUCGCAACUGCCACGUCCCCCUAUCCCCCCUCCGCUUCCUCGCAACUCCCCAGCGGCCUCCUCCCACGGCCCUCCGCCGCCUCCUCUCGCGGCGGAGCCGGCCACCUCCUCCCGCGGCCCUCCGUUGCCUCCCCCUGCAGCCCUGCCCUAGCGGCCUCCGCCUGCCCCUGGCCACCUCUUCCCACGACGGAGCCGGCCACCUCCUCCCGCGGCCCUCCACUACCUCCCCCUACCCCUAGCGGCCUCCGCCUACCCCCGGCCGCCUCCUCCCGCGGCCCUUCGCCGCCUCCCCGCGGCCCUUCGUCGAUGCAAGUCCCUGCUGCUAUAUUGUUGCUCCAAUUUGGUGGUGAUUUUGGCGUGAUAUGGUGGUGGCCUCGCCGAUUUGGGGGAAGUGCAAGCUGCGGUGGGGAUUGGGGAAAAAGGAGGAGCUGGAGCCGUGCCGCGGGCCGGCACGAGCACGGCCAGGCCGCUAAGGCCUGUCGGGCAAGCGGCCCCGCACGGCCCGCCUAAGAAGGCAGCAGGCCGGGCCUGGGCCGCUCCUUCGUCACGUGGGCUGGCCCGGCCCAGCACGGUUACUGUGCGGGCCUAAUCAGGCUCAUGCCAGGCCGGGCCGGGCCACCUGUUUGGCCAUCUAUGACCAAGGGUACCCGCGCAGGUGGCCUCAAGAGCUCAAACUUGGGCCACGCGGUCCAACUAGCGCACAUCGGCUGGUCCACGAAUGGGGCAAGGCAGCCCGGGUGGUCCGGGAUCCGACCAUCAGCUAGGUCAAGCGCCCGAUCAGUCACCCCGGUCAACAAAUGGUUGAGUUCCGCCACGCUGCACCGCCACGCCCCGCUAGCGGAUAGGGCAAUAAACACCCCGCUGCACCGCCACGCGGUCGACGUGCGCCACGGCGUACGGGCACCUGCCCCCGCACGAUUCGAACAGGGGCGGCACCCAUACCCUAGGCGCUGACGGAGGCAACAUGUCACACCCGAUUUUAAGGACAAAAUCGAGUGCAUUAAAUACAUGUGUGCCAGGAUCAAGUUACACACAUGUACGACAAUAGUGAAUAACAAAGACAGUGCUAAAACGAAUAAAGAGAGUAUUAACCAUUAUUACAUGACCGAAAGUCUCAAGUAAACCACAAAGUCUAAUUAUUACGCAGCGGAACUCCAAAGACGACGACAACUCCACAGGCAGCUGACUGAAGAAACGUACGCCUAGAACUCCUCAAAGUCGUGUAGAUACUCCUCUUCCCAAUUAGCUUGGUCUGAACAGCGGUUUUGCAAGGGUGAGUACACUUAUGGUUGGUACUCAACAAGUCGUGGGGAAUAGUGUAGUGUAAGGCUAAUUCAAGGUAUGGCUAAGGCAUAAUUAGCAUUCGCUUUUAAUUAAGUUGGUCAAGUUUUAUUAGCAAUUAACUAAGUAUAAGUUCAUACCACCCGAAAUUAAACAUGAUCAUAAAUAAAGUAAGCAACAUAUGCGACGGCGAGCGGCGGCGGUUCGCCGGAGUUGGCCGAAACGGCGCUCCGGGGCACGGUUUGGCGCGCGGAUUUCACCAGAAGCAAGAGGAGAACACGGCGAACUCGUUUUGGGGGUCCUUGACGACCGGAGCUCACCGGAGGCGGUGCUUGACGGCGGGGAAGAGGCGGCGGCGCUUGGAGCUCGGGCGCUAGGGUUUUGGGGGCUUCGGGUGCGGGUGCUUGAGGCCGAGAGGGGCGGCGGCUUAUAUAGGGUGGAGGCUUGGAGAUAGAGCGCCCCGGGUUUAAACUCCCCGAAGGAUUCGGAGCGGGGGCCGACGGGUUUCCGGAGGCGGCGGCGCGUCGGUUGCGGGAGGGAGUUCCGGCCGGAUACGGUCGGAGGAAGGGGAUGACGGGUGGGGCCCACCCGUCAGGCCGGAGGAAGGGAGCGGUAGGCGGGCCGGCGUGACUUCGUGGGCCGGCGCGCGUGUUUGCGGGCCGCGGGGAGGAAACGAAGCGGCGGGCCGCGCGGGAAAAGGGGAAACGGUGGGCCGCGCGGGAGAAAAAGAAAGGGGGCCGGCGGAGCUGCUUCGCGGGCCGGUGGGGAUGUUGCGGCUGGGCCGAAAGAAGAAAGGGGAAGGGAACGAAUGGAAGAUGCGGCCCAGAAAGGAGAAGAAGAAAAAGAAAAAGAAAGAGGAAAAGAAAAGGUUUUGGAAAUUGAAUUUAAAUUUGGAAAUUCAAAUUUUGAUUCAAACUCAAGCAAUCAAAAUAAAUGCACCAGCAUGAAUGCACAAUUAACUCCUAUGAUGAAUUUAAUUAAAUUAAAGAAAAUGAAUUUAAAUGCCUAGAAUUUAAAUGACACCCUAAUUUGAGCAAAUUUUAAUGAAUUUGAAUUAUUCAAAAUUUUGGGUGUUACACAACAGUCGACGAGGACAGCCACGUUGUGCGCGGGGACGAGGCGUUGCACUACCUGCCCUGUUGACCUGAACCGAUCACUACGACCACCGUAUCCAACCCUCCCGACCUCGGGAGCUAGUGACCGACACUGGCGUGGGGUCGGAGUACCGAUCCGACCACCUCACGACCUGCCACCUACUCUGAUGGGAUGCUACAGGCGCCAGCACACUUGCCGCACGCCACCCUCUACAACGGGGCUUGGCAGAUAGGACUAAGGGCAGUCCCAAUGGAACAUUGAUGAUAGUUUCUAUCCCUCUUAAUUGUCAUGCCAACUAAGCAAUUUGCUGAUGUGGCAGUAGAUUUAUUAUGGAGAGAGAGAAACCAUUUCUUGGAGAGGAAACCAAGUCCUCACGCAUACUGAUAGGUCAAGAAACCAAUGAAUAUGCAUUGGGGAGACCAAGUAGUUUCUUCUUGCUUACCGUCGGAUCCUUUGUGCUUGCACCGCUUCUACCCAUCACUCGAGCUCCUUUACAUAAUGUAUAGAGGAUCUGGUACUAGAAGGGAGAAUGAUUGGUUGGAUUUUUGUUUAGACUCUAGAUAAAAAAAUUGCAUUAUGAAGGAUGAUUUCUUGAUACAAUAUCCUAGACUCUGGAAACUACGAUGGUUUCUCCCAUUGGGAGUGCCCUAAGGGCAAGUGCUGCCUUAGUAGACAGUCAUGCAACAUGUAAUUAUGAGAUGAUUUAACAAACAACUUGUAUAAUAGGUUAUCUUUUUAAGUUGUCUCAUAAUAAUUCCAUUCCCUUAAUUUGUGCAUGAAAAAAAGAAAUAUUAUUAGUUGCAUACCAAUCACAAUUUGUACAAUGGUAGAGUACUCGUCUCGUAGUCCUAAAAUCAACAUCUUUCUCUCUUAUCACCUUCUCUUCACAUCAGUAAAAAUCCUACAUGACAUUGCAUAAAACGACUUAUGAGACUACCUAGCAGCAGCAUGUACUGCCCUAAUGCGGCCAUAGGCGGCGCAGGACGGCCACGAUACAAGGAUGAGCCAACGGGACUCCCGAUACGAUGGAACGGCGAUGCCCCGACUAGGACCCAGGAGAGCUCCACCAAUGGGCCCCGCAGGACCGACAGACCUGAGGGACCCCUCCUUCUUUCUUGUACCCGGCCCCCGAAGACAUAUAAGGGGAGCUGGGCCAUUCUUCACGGCACGUACGCAUUCCAUUCCCCAACUGCACACUCACUCCCUCACGAGCACCCCCUCUGAGCACACGGCUUGAGGAACACGAACUCACCUCCAAACUGGACGUCGACCAGGGGCACACCAACCUAGAACUCCAAGUCUUCAUGAGUGGCUCCUCCAAGUUUCCUCGUAGCAGCUCCUGUAUGGCACUAUCUGAGCAGCAACAGGAGGGCACAGCAAGGGGGUUGAAAGGAAAAAGGUGAGUACACUUGGAGGCGUGUACUCCGCAAGUGGACUACAAAGCUCAUUUUUUAAUGUUUGUCAAGUUUUAAUUAAGCACCUAGAACCAUUAGUGUGAUAAGCUUCCAAAAAACCCAACAAGGCACAUGUUACCCCACCUGUCCUGAACCUAAGGUCAAUGUCUCAUCAUCCAAACCCAACUCCCAAACCACAGACACCAUCUGUGAUUCUCUCAAUCCAACUAACCAUGUGAGGGUCCAUACCACUCUUGACCAUGAGCACAACUGUUAUAACAAUUUUUAACACUUUGCAGAGGUUGUACAACUUUACCCACGAGUCAUGAUACCCAUCAUGACGAGGCGGCCAAACCUCUUACACAUUACCGAGAUGUGUUGGCAUGUGUUCACUACGACGCCUUCCAUUGGUUCUCCAGCGCGCAUUGACCCAUCAAGGCUCUUAACCAUCACUGCGUCGAGCCAUGAUUUAUGGGACGCUGCCCUAGUCGGCGCCUACCCGCUCAACAUAGAUCGUUGGAUUACCCAACUUACUCAGCCAAGACCAUAGCCCAUAUAAUUCUCAUGGUUGUAUGAUUAAGUUAGCAAGGGGUUUUAUGACAUCAUCAUGAAUUUUUAGGAAAUGAAAAUAUAUAAAUUGGAAUUUUUGUGAGUUUUUUUGGUGAUGACGUCAGCAAGGACCUAGGUGCAAUUAUCGAUAGACAAUAGGGGGUAGCUGGUAAGUAUUCCUACGACUCAAAGAAAUUUUAGAUUAAUUUCAUAGAUCUUCAGGGGCUAGAUCAUAAGAUUGCCAGGCAAAUCUGACUGUGGUCAAGAUUGCAUGUUGGCCGUUGGAUUUGAUAUGGAUGGUCGGAUUUUAAUGACCAAAGAGGUACCCCUUGUUUUAAUCAUGGCCAUUCAUAUGGGAUCGAGCGGCCUGGGGCGUGCUGCCGGUUCUGGGCCUGGUGCCGCUCGCACAGGAGCCCCGACAAUGGAGUUUUGCCAGAUUACGGAACGACAGCUCUACAACCCACAAGGGACGACGAGACGUGGCGCGCUCGAGAGAGGAGGACACGGCGAGCUUACCAGGGGUAGGGCAAGGAUAAAUCCAUGGCAUGUAAGGUGUACAGCGGAGAGGGACGGAGGAGGUCGGAGCCGUGAGUGAGGGCGGCAUGGCAGCCUUGGUCUGGUGCUCCUGGGCGCUGGAAUUGCAUCGUUGGGAGUCCCAUGACACCGAGAGAGGGAGGAGGAAGUGAGAGCUAGUUCGACUACGGCAAAAGGCAGUGGCAGAGCUCGCUUACCGAGCUUCGGCCAUGGCGGCGUUGGUGAGCAAAUGGUGCUGGGAGAAGGCACGAUAAACGGUGGGGCGAUGUUGGAGAGGCAAAAAGGAGGGAGAUGGAGCUCGGCACAAGAUUUAUUGGGGAAGAAUUGCUUGGAGAAGGACGGAUGGGAGGCAAGAAGAGGAGAUCAAGAGUAGGGGUCUCAGUCUUGAUGGCCUUGAUGGCACUUGUUGCCAUUAAAGGAGGAGAGGAGUAACGGGCGGAAGAAGGGAGGGAGGGGGAAGCGGGGAUUGCGGCAUGGGGCUGGGCGGGGGCGAGGAGGUGUGGUACUACGGGAUUUUGAUGGGGCGAUGGUGUUCGGUGUGGGAAAAAGGGCAGGUGAGGGAGGAGGAAGACGGAGCUGAUAGGUGAGCCCCGCGUUGAAGGGAGAGAAGGGAGAGAGAGUGGGGGAGGGGGCUGGGCUGCUGAUGGGCUACGGCCCAUGCGAGAGAAGCGGAGGGGAAGCAGGUGGAAAGGCUAGCUAAGGAAGGGGGUAGAGGGGGAAGGGAACUGUGCUCGGCCCAACAAGGGAAGGUAGAGGAGAAGGGGGUAGGGGGGAGCGGAGAGGGAAGUUGGGUUGUGGCCUAGUUCGGGAGAAUGGAAAAGAAAAAGAAAACGAACGGGGGAGGGGAGGUGGGCUUGGCCUGUGAGAAGAUAAGGGAGGGGAGGCGGGUUGGGCUGAAGUAAAAGGGAGAAGGGGAGGGGUGGAAAUGGGAUUUAGGCCUCGUAUUAAAAGGGAAUUUGGCCCAAAAUAUUUUCUCAAAAUGGAACCUAGUGCAUAAAAAUAUUUUCAAACAAAACCCUAUGCAUUUCCAGCAUGAAUGCAACACACAAAACUGCAACACACAAGAAGAUAGCAAGUGAUUCUAUAGAAUUCAUAUGAAGAGAUGAUUGGAGACCAUAAGUACUCACUAACAAAUCAUGCAGCUUGUAAAAUAGUAAUGUAUUCAUUCUGAACAUCUUAUGGCUUUCACUAGGAGUAUUGAGUUUUUCCAUUGUCCAACCAAAUCCACUCUGUGUUGGAGUUCUUGCAUCAUUUUUAUCAUGAUAGGUCAUAAAGUACUUGGAAACAAACAGACUAUUCUGAUUUGACUUUAUCAAUAUCAUAGUAUUUAUAGCCCACUGAUCCUUGUCUGAACCACUGUCAUCCAUUUUAACAUCAGAAGAAUCAGAUCUGUACACCAUACAAACAACACUCAUGAAUAAGGAAUUAUUUGAUUGCACAUAAAUUAUUCAUGCAGGAAUAAUGGAAAGUCACACACAUUAUUCAUACAUAACUAAUGAAAACUCACACAACAUACUGAUACAGGAACACUGGUUCAUGCUCCAAGCCAAAUUGGAAGGUAAUUAAUAUGAAUGAAAUGCAAUAUCUACUCAGGCAUAUCAUUUUUAGUCAUCCACUCAUGCUUUCUCUUCAACCAGUCAAAUCUUUCCUCCGGAGUGUCCAAAGUCAUAAACAUUUCUCUUUCAGCUCUCUCGGUAAAAACUAGAGAUGCAACAAAAUUCUCAUUGUGGAUGGAACAGCACCAAAAUAGAGCCACAAUUGAAACAUAGAUGACACUCACUUUUGUUGUGUUCCUCCCCCAAGCCUCAGUCAUUUCAAUAUUCUGUUUGCUUUCAUCCCAUCCUAUACCUAUCUCACAAUGUUUCAGUUCUUCCUAAUACCAUAAUCAGUUUUUAAUUUAUCAUAUUUGUUCUUGAAUUAUUUUCUAGUGUACAGAAUAUCAGUCCUCUCUUUGAACCUUUCUAUCACAUUCUUGUACCCAGUCUUACUCAAAUGUGUGUUUGAAUGAUGUCCUUUGUCAACUUUAUCUGCAAAAAUCUCACACACUAUUCUAGUGUUCUCAUCACAACAAUCAGCCAAGUUGUUACCAACAAAAUCAAUUUCAUGGACAAAACAUAUUAGAACAGGAGAACUAGACCAAAAGAAGUUUUUGAUCAUUAGCCAUACACACAAGUCAUGAGAAGCAACAAACAAACAACUACUGAACUAAUAACAAACAACGAUGGACAGAUUGGCCGUGCUAUCACCGGAUCCGCCAGUUACCCCAUCCGGGCCAUCAGUAGCUUCUAGUGCCGGCCAACCUUCCAUCUACCACCGCCGUGCUUUUUCCCGUGAGAAAGAGAGAGACGAGGGAACGAGAGAAGGGAACAGAGAGGGGAUUGAGAGGCUUUGGGUUAUCCAUUCAGGAGCAAUGGCAAUUUUGUUGUAAAUAAAUACAACAAAGUUCAGGGGCGCUUUGGUCCUUUUUCACGGGGCCGAGGAGGGAGCCACGCAGAGCCACUUUUUUUGUUUGGCUUCAUGCCUUCAACACAAAUCGCAAAACAGCUUCUUCGGCUUCGGCUUUGCCUUCGGAGCUGUUUUUUUACCCCCGUUUGGUAUGCCUUCAGCGAAAGUCUACAAAGGAGCCGCUGCAUAAGCCGUGCCAAAGAGAGGCCCUAAUCUACCACAUUUAUCACCUGCACUGGCUCCACCUUCAACAAGAUAAAUUUAUUCAUCACUAGGUUUAUAGCUGUGCAUUGCCACGGGAGCCUAAAAAUUUUAACGCAAUAAAAAAAAUUAUUACAGGUGUUAUAAUAAUACUUCAAUAAAAUCUGCACAAGGCUGCCAGUGACAACGCAGAGCGGCGGGUGAAAAGUUUCUUGUCCAACCGAACAAAAUGGAAUACCAAGCAUAAUAAGUGAAAGCGGCCAUAAAUUGAUAUGCCAAGAAACAAACUUGGUUAACACAAAUGGAUGGAAACUAAAAUAGAAAAUCUUGAGAACUACACACAUGGAACUUGUGCAACAUUCUUCCUCUUUUCUAGGGUCUACAUAUAAUCUCUCCAACAAGUUACGGUAGCAGCUCUUGAGAUUCAUCGAGUCCUGUCAAUUGAAUUUCAAAACUUAGUGAAACGACUUCACCAGAAAUUGGAAACAAAUGACCAGAAAUAACCAAAAAAGUAAAAGUAUUGCUAUUUUUGCUGCCUAAACCAUGAUAUGAACUUUAUUAAUUGUCUUACAACUAUAGCAUUUUGCAACUGCCUAACCAGCAAAAGAGAUUGACAGAUUGUACCUGAUGGGAAAAGGGAUCGAUGGACAAACUCUGCCUCAAAAGAACAAUACCGAGUGUGCUGCUAAUUAGCAAACUUUGCAUUUUCAAAGUAUGUUAGAUCAAUACAUAAGUUUCUCAAAAGUAAGGUAUAAGUAUAUUAGUCACACUCCAUCAUGUAUUGAAACAACUGAGAGAGGUCAGAUAGUAAACCAGAUAUAGAUUCUGACAUUCUAUAUGUUCAGGAUAUUAUUGAACUUUUAGAAACUAAUAUGUGCAGGAAUAUGCAGUUAGGAGUAGAUAUUAUAUAAAACUAAAUAUAUUAUUUCUGACAGAGAGAACAUAAUGGCGUGCAAGCUUCGGGUGGAAACAAGUUUCUGCAGGGAGUGCCAGGAAGAGGAAAAUAAUCAAGGUUGGAGAGAGAGCCCCUGAUUCUGCAGGAAGCCCUGAAUGAUGGAUAUUUUCACAGAUAUAUGUUUUGUGCUCCGCAUAUGUUUUGGUGCCCAAACAAGCUGCAUGAGCAAAUUAUUGAUUGGUUCUUUUCUAAAAUCUAUGAACAAUCUAUGCAUUCGGACAGAAAGCAAAAUAAUUCACAUGCGCGAGAUUGAUUGAUUUCUAGAUGUUCAGAACUAAAGAAAUGAUCAGCACCAAGAUAAACUCAUGGUCAAUGUGAUCUUCCAGCAGGACCGAAAUAUAUGGACACCAGGGGUCUUCAGUUAUUGAUACCGAGCUAUGAGACCUAAUAUUAUAAAGUAAGCAUUUGAAUUAAAUUAAAACCAACAGUGGGAAGGCCUGCAGCUUACAUGCAAAAAUGAGACUUCACUAAUGAAUAAAUAGUAGUGCUAGCUAGGCACAUUCUUCACUUUAAGAACAGUGCUUGCCAAGAAGCCCUGUAAACAAACAAGCUACAUCUGCCAAUAAUCAGUUUUCCAUUGUAAGAAGAGUAACUCACAUGGAAACAAAUAUUCAGAGAAGUAAAACUGAAACAACAAAAUAGCCUUUACAUGGUCCCAGUGUAAGUACAGGCAACAUAUUGUAUGUAGCGCCUGUUCCAUAUGCCAUUCCUCCUCAUCUUCCUUUGUGAGAGGCCAAAAAUGUUCCGAAGACAUUGGUGCUUCAAAUAACUUCACAUUCACAGAAUUUUUUCUUGCAUUACUAAAGUGGAUAUCAUGGAUAAACCUAUAAAAUUUAAUCAGUAGUCUUACCCUUAUCACAUACAAGAUCAUAUUGACCAGCGAUGCUCGAGGCUCACCAGCAGAAAACCAUCACAUCCUCUGGAUCUUUGAUCAGCGCAGGGUGGAUUGGCGAUCGGACAGCUGGCGGUAGAUGGGCGGCGCUCGGUGGUGGAAACUGUGGCACGCGGCGCCAGAGCGGGGCUGCCUCACCGGAGCGAGCUUGAUCUCAAUCUAGAAGGCUCAAAUUGCGACACGGUGAGGCCCUGGAUCCAGCUGGAAGGCUUGUGAGCACAUCUAGGGUGUUGAGGGCCUCGAUUGCGUGGUGAAGACGGGGCGCGGCUCGGUGAAGCAGCUCGGCGUGGCGGCGGCAACUCCGACGAGGUCGUGCACGCGGAAGAAGGCAUGGGGGCGUACGGGAUCUUCACGGGUAGCUUCCUCACCUCCUCGCAGUGCUUCGGGCAAUAAUCCGAUCAUGAAGGCGGUGGCGAUGGAGAUCGAAGGUGGCGGCACUUGGAUAGGGUUGUGGGCGCGAGGGCGGCUCCGGGGCUCGAGGGUGUGGGGUUUAGGGUUUGGUAAGGGCUGCGGAGGCGGCGGCGGGUUUUAUAGGCCCGGGGAGGUGUCCUUGGCGUGCGGGCCCAAGGUCGGAGGCGACCGGGACUCGAGCUAUCCGGCUCGAUGCGGCGCAGCGGAAGGGAUGAUGGGUGGGGGCCACCCGUCAGCGAGACGCGGGCGGGGCCGGUGCAGGAACGGGUCGGCGUGGAGGAGGUGUUGAUGGGCCGGCCUGCUGGGCUGACUCCUGCGGUACUGCUGCUGUAGAGCCGGGCCGAAAGGAGGAACGGGUCAAAAGAGAGGAGAAAAGAGAAAGAAAGAGAAAGGUUUUCCUAUUAUUUAAAAGGGAUCAAACAAAUGAAUUCAAAUACAAAUUUGAAUCCAAACACCCAAAACUAAUGCACCAGCAUGAAUGCAAUAAACCCCUAUGAUUUAUUGACUUAUUUUUAAAAGAAAUUUAAAUGCCUAAUAAUUUAAUCUGCAACCUUAGAAAACCUUAAAUCCUUAAACAUAAGCAAUUAAUUUCUAGAAAAUUCUAACAAAAGGCUGAAAAUUAGGGUGUUACAAUCUUACGGCUAAUCCACCGAAUCAUGCUAGCUGAAGAGACAGUAAUGUUUGACGUGGCAAGCUGAUCAUCGUGGCAACUAGUACCAGCGAGGUGAAUUGUCACCGUCAGCCAACCAAGCUGCAGUCAAGGCAGAAUGGCCCACGGCCGACUGAAAUCAAGCAUCAUGUGGAUCCAACCGGCCGACCACACGAAGAAAUCAGCUGCAUGCAGCCUCUGCAUCCUGCAAGCGGUUUCCAAGGACCUGACCAGUCGUCGAUCUCCCACUUGCACGCGCACAGUGACCACAUACAUGUGCUCUCCUACAUCGCCCGCCAUCCUUGACUAAUAAUCAUAUCCUACUACUAGCUGAUGAUGAUAUAUAAAGCCAGUGUACGUGAACGUUCGUGUUCACGACAUCCAUCGAUAGCUCGACACAGCACAUCGAUCCACAGCCAUGGCAAAGGUUACCAGCCUCGCCCUACUCGUCCUCGCCGUCGCCGCGGUGUCCAUUCCCGCGCCCGCCGGCGCCGCCGGCGCGGGCAACGCCGCGCUCAAGAGGGCCGCCGAUUUCCUCGAGAAGUGGAAGAAACGGAUCGAGGACGCCAAGGACAGAUUCGAGGCCAUCGACAAGGCCACGGACGGCGAGCUGCUUCCUCGCGGUAACGACGCGGCGGCGGGGUUGUUGCCGAACGCCGUCGCCGUCGACGUCGUCAAGGCCGGGGGCGUGAACUUCUCCGUGGGCGGGGUCGACGUCACCAGCCGGGUCACUUGGACAAGCCGGUGCGGCGGCGACAGCAGCAGCCAGCAGGUGGCGUGCGGCGACCCGCUGUGCGAGAAGUACGGCGCGUGCGACGGCGGGGAUGCCCCGUCGGCGGCGGGACGGGUCUGCAACAGCGCAGCUCCGGCUGGCGUCCCGCUCCGCAAGGGCAAUAUCACCCUGUUCGGUGCCAAGAGCAAGGGAAUCUUUUCUAACAACACGGCGUACAACACGGCGUACGCGUGCCGGCCAGACGCCUCCGGCGACUACUACGCCGUCAUCGGACUCGGCAGGGGCAACAACAUCCUCGCCAGCUUCCCAAAGGAGUGGCCGCUCUUCUCCUACAUCAUCGAUGGCGAUCUUCAAGGCAGCACGGUCUGGCUUGCCCACAACGCGUUCUUGGCCCGGAGAGCGACGGCGGCGCGAGCCGGUAGCAGGAGCAUCACCCUAUUCGGCCCCGUCGGCUCCAACAAUAGCACCUACUCCGUCAAGGUCACCGGCAUCAAGGUCGGCGGCGGCGAGGUCGCCAGCGAGGCGGCCACCGGAAUCUUGAUGACCACCAUGCCGUUCACGUUCCUCAAUUCGUCUCUCUUCGACCACCUCAAGCAGGAGCUCAAGGCGGUGGCGUCACCGGUCAAUGGCUCCGACUUCGACGCCCGAUUCGGGCAGCUGUGCUACCCGAAAGGCACGAAGUUACCGGCGAUCACGCUGUUGUUCGUCGGCGAGAACGCCGGGAUGGAGCUGCAGCCGGAGCACUACUCGUACAAGAAGAGCAACGGGGUCGUGUGCCUGUCCAUCCUGAAGUCGCCGUGGUCCAACGGCUUGUCGGUCAUCGGCAGCAUGGUGCAGGCGGGCAGGCAGAUGACCUACAAACUGGACGACAACACGUUGACGUUCGACGACCCCGCGUCGGCGUCCUCCAAGCCGUCGCCGUCUACUUCUUCGUCGGUGGCCCAGGCGCCGUUGACGCCCUUCUGUCUGUCUCCUGCUUUCGCGGUGCUGCUGCUCGCCAUCAUCAUGUGAAGCUAAUUAUUAGUAAGAGGGAGACCCGGAUUGGCCAGCCGGCGACCAUGAUUCAAACCCCGCGGUGCCACUGUCACCACUAGUAAUAUUGUUGUACUGAUAUGCUUUCUACUCAGAUGUCGUUGUCGACAUUUUGUUUUAAAAUACUGCCAUGCAAAUGUCUUUUUUGAAGUAAAAAAAAGAGUCAUGCAAAUCUCAAAUAGCAGAAGUGAAAAGAUAAACGUUUUUUCUAUUCUAUCUCUUAUAUAAAUUUUAUUUUAAAAUAUCCAAAUAUACAAGUAUAUAUGGUGCAAAGGGAUUAAUUUGUAUAGUACGUAGAUCCAUUUAUCUAAUUUUUAUCCAGCUGACCAGCUCAAAGCGGCUUUCACUACUGGUCCUCUCGGACCUCUCCACCAGACCUCCACCCAACCAUCUUUUUUUUUAAGACUAAUUGAGGCCAAAAGCUAUUUCCCUGUCAAGCUGGCAACUGUUCGAGUCGGGGCGACGAGCAAGUUGCUAGCACGAGGACGACACAGGGUUCAGGGUUGGCUUGGAAAUUAGCGAGGGGGCGAGGGAUCUGCUCGCAGCCUCGCACGCGCGUCAUGGGCGCGACCCCGCAGGAACUGAACCUGGGCAAGUGUGCACGCGUUUCGACUUUGGGUCGUCUGCAUCAGAACGGCAACCGGAAGCUAUUCCAGUUUGCCCCUCGUCUGAAGAUGCUGGACGCAGAGGUAAACCGGAACAAUCUUUGACUGCUUUAUCCGGAAACCUUUAUCCGGGCUUUUUGGGGUGGCAGCAUCUCAGUCCAAUCAAAGCGUUUCGCUGUCCAUGCGUUCCUUUGUGUUUUGAUUACUUUCGCUCCGCUGCCUGUAGAGAAUUUUUAGACAUGCGCUUUCCCACGGUUCGGCAAUGCAAAGCUCGCCAAUGUUCUUGGAAGUUUGCACAGUCUAAACCCUUUUCUCGACGAAGAAGCACUGGUCCCUAUCGCGUUGAACUGGCCGGCCACGUCGCAUCCUUGGACUCGCUGAUCACACGCCACAGUCCGUGUACGCAUUGGAUCGACUGUUGGGUGAUUGGGCGGUCGCAGAGAGAGACUUUCAUCAACGCACAGCGCACAGUCGAAGAGCUCAUCUACAUCUAGAUCGCGCUCUGGUCCUGUCUGAGCAGUGCCGAACGAGCUCCGCGUAGUGCGUACGUAACAGGUGUGUGGCGAUCCUGGCCUCACGUUGACAGGACGGGCGAAAGGUCGUCGUCGGCGAGCUGAUGUGAGGGCAUGGGCGGACCAGGAAAGGGACCUCUGUGCAAGGGGCAGAAAGGAGGCGCUGUUCCUGUCGAAAGCAGCAAGCCAGCAAGCACCUCGGCGUCGCAGCUUGCGAGCAUCCGGAAACUGACGAGAUGGGCUUGCUGUGCUGGCUCUUCGUACGUGGACUCAUGUACAUGACCGGACAAUAACAUGGGUCCAGCUCGCUGUAGGUCCCAACUGAGAAAUAGGGCAACUCAAACAAGAAAAACAUCUGUUUACCAGAAGCACCAGCACUCAUUUACUUCUAGUUCGUGCCUAUUGUCCUUUUGGUCCUCUUUUUCUUGAGGAAAAUGACAUGAUUUUUUUUUUGAAAUUACGGGACUUUAGAUCAUUUCUGGUGCAACACGGUGAAGUGAUUAAUGUGGGGUUCACUGAUACUAUAGCUAGAAAAAAAAACAAAACACACACACACAAGCGACAUCUGUGUUAGUGGCAAGAUUUAAAAAAAAAAACAGGAGAAUUUAACAAGCAACAUGGUUGAAGCGAUGAAUGAUCAUACCCUAACUUUUUUUCCCUCGAAUACCCAGAAGACGGCACAUCAUUGCAUUAAAAAGAAUAUAUAGAGCACAAAACACACACACAACACACCACUAAAGAAAACAAAAAUGACCCGUGACUUCUCCCUUUAAAGUUAAACCUCGACUAUGGCUGUGCCAACCAUGGGACCAGCCAUGACUCAAAGUUGGACCUCAUCCUUAAUAAUCUGAACGACCCUUUGCAAGCGGUGAUACCCGAUGUUUCCAAAAUAUCCGAGCCCCCAAGGAGUUCAAACCAGCCUUCGUAGAACUUGCCACUAACUUAAUAGCUCCAGACCACCGAUCAAAGAACUGCAUGAUGUAGGGGUGACAGGUCGGGGAGACCAAACAGUAUAAACAAGACUGACCAGACUUCUCUUGAGGAGAUACAGGAGACUAUGAUGCGGUGGAUUAUCCCAUCUUCCUGGUCAGAGAGCAGGCAACGCUCUGGAUGUGGUAGUUCCCAUCGUGCUAGGCAGUCAGCAGUCCAACAUUGACUAUGGGCUACUAACUAGAGGAAGAAUUGGCUGUAAUGAUCAUGACUAGUAACGAUAAUAAGUAACCAUCAUCACGCAAACUCCAAAAGCCACAUAUCAAGACAUGUAUCUGUAUCCGGUAUCCGGUGCAUGGUGGAUGCAUCACGGAUACAUAAGUAUUGGGAAAACAAAGAUUUUAAUUGCUGACACAUAUUCGACACUUGCUUGGUGGAUACUUCAUGGAUAAAGCCCCGCCGCCUAGCCACAACCUAAAACUUAACGACAAUAAGACUAAGGGGGCUGUUUCUUUAACCCUGUCACACGUCGGAUGUUCGGAUGCUAAUUAGGAGAACUAAACAUAAACUACUUAUAAAACUAAUUGCAUAACCUCUAAACUAAUUCGCAAGAUGAAUCUAUUAAGCCUAAUUAAUCUAUCAUUAACAAAUGGUUACUGUAGCACCACAUUAUCAAAUCAUGGACUAAUUAGGCUUAAUAGAUUCGUCUCACGAAUUAACCUCCAUUUAUGUAAUUAGUUUUAUAAUUAGAUUAUAUUUAAUACUCCUAAUUAGUAUGUGACAGGGGCUUAAGUUAGCCCAUGUGAGCCAAACAGGUCCUAACACCGCACCCCUUGGAACUCACAGAAGCCAGACCAGACCACCGCACGCUUCCCCUUACUGUUGGGUGACCACCUACCGGCCCCGAUUCAUCUGUGAGUACAUCCAGUCAUCCCCAUUUAUUAAGAUAGAGAACAAGUGCAAAUUCUUCGCUUGGCAAUGAUAAAAAAAAAUUCCCAAAGCAGGCAUUCUAAAUGUCAAGGGAUGGCCUCAUCAGCCGCAUUGCCCACUUUGCCAUAGCCGUCCAGAGACCAACUUUCGCUACUAUGCCCUUUCGCCAAAGUUUGUAUGGGAAACAGUAGCCAUGGCCCGAUGGGGGCCUUUGGUGAAUUAGAGACGCUUGGCUGUUUUGGCUCAUUAAAAUGAAAGCUUUGGAAAAGAGAAAAAUGGCCUAAUCACAAGCUAAUUUUUUUAUUCAUACUAUGCUUUAGUAUUCGCAUUUCAAAAAAAUACCAAAACAUAUCUGUGUCUUGGAUAUUUCUGGAAAAUAGUGUAUCCGUGUAUCCAUAUCUUCGCUGCAUAGGAUGACAGUUUGCAUGAUAAUUUAAUGACGUCGGAUUUUAAAUAGCCCAGCUUGACUCACCUUCUGAAUAACUUGUAGAGGAUAUGGAAAGCUCCUGAUUCUUGUCCCUCUCCCCACUUGAGCUACCUAAAAUAUAAAAAAAAGGAAAGAAGAAUAAACAUAACUCAAACAAUGGAAUGCGCUAUCAAGAGCAUUAGCAGUAGAUUCUCAUACACAACCAUGUAUUUACAAUGAACCAAUUUCGACAAAACGUUAUUACUCGUGUGCGUGUAGGCACAAUUACGCGUGAAACAGAGGCCUAGUGCUUUGUUUAGGCCCUAGGCGGUAAAUUAAUAGCGCAAGCGGGCACAAGCACAGGCACACGUUCUGGAGAGGCGGGGAGAAAGAGUGCAGGAGACGUGGGGAGAAGAGUGCGGGGGCAUGGGCGAUGGAUAACCGAAAAGAGUUGCUCGGCGCACAGAAAGAAUUACGGUAAUGGCAUGGCUCGACGCGUCAGACGCUUAUCACUAAAAAUAUCUGGCACGGAUCCUACAAACACCUUCUCUCUUUCCACCUUAUCCUUUCUCUCCUACAAUUCUUCCUUAUCCUUUCAUCUAGGGAAAAAUCACCCGCACCACUCACUCUCUCUGCCGCGCAGUUCAUGCGGGCAUGGGCGCGCUGCGGGGCCGCGCCGGCAGGCAUGGGCGCGCGAGGCCAGCGACGGCAGCGGUGCGUGGUGGUGAGGCCAACGGCGGCACCUACUGGCGAUGCGGGCACAGGUUGCGGCGGCGGUCGGCAGGCGUGGGGCUGGGAAAGAAUCCAUGGUAGCUGCUAUCGUACUCUAGGAGGAGGAAGAUUCCACCGCGGCCAGGGGCGAGCCGCGCCGGCCGCCGCCAUCCUCCUCCUCCUCCACCACCGUUUCCUAGGAUCCUGGUGUGCAGUGCUUCUCGUGCCAGGGUUUGCUGCAUGUUGCAAGCGUAUGUUUCAAGUGUUUUAGAUGUUUCAGAAGAAUGUUGCAAGUGUUUCAUGUGGAUGUUGCAAAGUAGAUCUAGAUGUUGCGAUAUUGUACAUGUUUCACACACAUGUUGCAAGUGUUUUAUCUGAAUGUUGCAUUUUCAAUGAGAGAUUUAAAUGUUCCAUGCAACACGAAACAGAUGUUGCAGCGGGUUUUUUUCCUCAUCAUCAACAGAUGGCUAAUAAAUUUUUUUCAACAUAUUUUUUGAUAUUGCAAAUGGUGGUUUUAUAUGUUGCAAAUAUUUAUUUUUUAUGUUGUAGACAUUAUUUUUUGAUGUUGUGAUGGACCAACGGAGCGUCCGAUAGACAUCCGGGCACAAGCAACGCCCAAACAAUUACCGCGUCACGUCGCGCCACUGCAUCUGCGCGUGGGAACCCCGUCACGGUGCAGAUAAGAUAAGAUCCAAAUGUUGAGUAAUCAUCAGCAUGGGAGUUAUUUGUUUUUGUUUUAUUUUUGUGCACAAGUAACUCGUAAAAUUGUAAACUAUUUUUAUACGUUUAGGAGUGAUUCUGCAGCACAUAGGUAUACAUGUAACAGAGUAAGACAAGACAAUCUAGUAAAAAACUUGGAACAUCAACAUGGUGCUCCAAAAAUCUGCACUAGCAAAAGAAAAACUAGCCCUUUAGUUUAAAUGAAUAAGACCUGAAAAGUUCAUAUAUAAGAUAAAUAAGGUGAUUUGAACUGGAGGUACGGACGAUACCAAUUUACAAUGUGGGCAAUGAUGAAAGCAAGUUCAGAAUAACUAUUUAUCUACUAAACGUAGCAACGUCAUGGUAAUGUAUAAAUUUGCAGCAGAUUAAAAGGCCAACUAGACACCCAUAAUCCAACCAGAUCUAUAACCCUGAAAGCUAUAUAGAUGAGCAGAAUAGUUACUAAUGAUACACUAGCUCACAAAAGAAGCCCAAGGUAGAAACAACACAAGAAAAGUACAGAUUGGCUCCAGCGCAUUUCAAGCAAAAGUACAGUAUGCAGCAAUGAAAUGGUCAGCCAUAUAAUUAGGCAAUUAGCAAUAACAGUGCCCCCAGACCUUAGCAAUGUCUUGAUCAGUACAACUAGCAAUGUGUCACAAUGACAUUGUCAGCAACAAGCCAGUAUAUCAUUUGCAAUCGCAAAGAAGCAUCACUGACAUGGGGCAUCGCACAUGGCAAUCACAUAUCAACUUAUGUGUGUUUUUUUGUUCCUUUCUUGCUUGCUGUGCAGAUAGAGAGGGGAUGCCAAGAUAGGGAUGAAUGACUCAGGACAGGGAGUGUCGUUUAGCAGGGGCGGACCCAGUAUAGGACAUGGGUGUACAUGUGUACACCCAAUAACUGUUGCAGAAAGAUUGAAUUUAGUAGGUAAAAUCAUGGUCAGAUCCGAAUACAAAUACCAUACGUUAGGGGUUUGGGUGUUUGAUUUCGCGCAGCAGGAUGGGAAGGGAGGGGAAUAGGCAGGCAUACCCCUGUCGGAUGUUCGUCACUGGCGAAGCGCCCGUCGCUCAACGAACAACGGACAGCGCAACUCACCCUGUCGUCGCCGCUAGGAAAGGAAGACCGAGGCCGAGAGAGAGAACAGAGAAGUCGUGGGAAGGGAGGUGUGAUGACUCUAGACUACGCGGCGGCACGCCAGCGAGCUUUGGUCGGAGAAUCGCCGCUGCUGGCGGGGCUUGGGGAAGAAGAUGAGCGGGAAGGGUUAGGUUUUGGUACUUGAUCUAUUCAUUCAUGCCCCUUCCCUACAUGGGGUUGGGUUAUGCCACAGGCCGGCGUGGUGGCCCAAUGGGCUUAGCCCAGUUCUUGACAUGGCCUCUGGCCCGAGCAUUACAAAGGAUACUUAGCCCAGUUCAUGUGACCCUUUAGCCGGAAAACCUAUACGUCUUCCACAAGAUUUUUUCCAAAGAAACUUCCACUUUAAUAUUCGUAUGAGAAUAUGAUCUAACACUUGCUGAUCUUCUUCUUCUCCUCUGCUAUAGGAUGAGGUUGGCCUGGCAGCGGCGGCGGUUCGACCGUGGCGGUGAUGCGACGCUUGGGUGGUGGUCGAGGCCAGCGGCGGCGGCGGUAGUGGUGGAGUUAGGGUUAGGUUUCAGAGUUUCCGGGGAGCUCCAGUGUCCGCCAGGCUUAAAGGAGGAGGUCGGGGGGAGGGGCGGCAAGUCUGGUGGUGGCGACGGUUGGGCCGAUUGCGGAGGCUCGCGCCGCCAGCCGAGCAGGGCAGGAAGUCCGGCGGGCGGUGGACGACAAACUUCGGAUUAGGAAUGGUGGGGUGGGGGUGGCGGUGGAGGGUGGGCGAACAGCGCGGCGGCGUGGCAGCCGCCGGCCGAGGUGGAGGACGAGGUGGCGGCAAAUGUGGGGAGCGUGGGGAAGAAGAUGAGGAAGGGGAGAAGAUGGGCCUCGAUGGGCCAAAAUUUUCAUCCCUUAUCUACCUUCCAGAAGGUAGAUAGGAGCCCUCCUAGCCCUGACACGAGGGUGUUGCCGCACCAGCCGGACUCGAGUUGCAGCUGGGCAGGGGAGCGUGGAGGGCGGUGCACGGGACGAUAGCGUGGAGAGUGGCAGGCACUGGGGGAGCAAAGGGAGAGAUGGGUCGCGGGGAGGAAGAAAACUGCAGCAGACGCUGUCGCGCGGGCCGAACCGGUUCGACCGAUUUCGUGGGAGAGGGGAAAAACUCCAUAAUUUUAAAGUCCAUCAGCCUAGAAAUCUAAAAUAAAUUAAUAUUUUAACAUAACAAAUUUAACAACUUUAAAAAAAUCAGACUAACGUUCGAAAAUAACAUAAUCAACAUUUUUCAAAACAUAUAACAAUAUUUCGUAGAAAGUAGUACAGUCAACAUGUUUCAUAGGCUAGAACAGAUCCAACAUUUUCCAAAGCAAAGAUCAACAUUUUUGAAAUGCUAGUUUUUUUUAUUUCUUCUUCUUCCCCAAAGUCGGUAGCUGGAGGGCCGUCGUGGCAAGCACAAGCAGUAGCAGCGCGUGGUGGAGAUAGAUGACAUCGAUAGACCACAAUGGUGGAUGCGGUAGGGAUCAGCGCUCGCAACAAGGGAAGCCAUGGGGCUCCGCAACAAGCACGGGCAGUGCACGGCGGAGGUGGCGCCAAUGGACAGCAACAAGGGUGGGACGUGAAGCGAGCAUGAGCAGUCCAAAUCUGAUAGAAAUAUCUAGUCUUUUAUUUUUUUUCUAAAGUAUUACCUUAACAUAAUAUAUCGAUUUUCACCUCUAAACUUUUUACCUCGUAAAGAAUACUUUUAGAAUAUCAUGGAAAUCAAAUAGAUGUAUACUUUUUUCAAUGAUGGUUCUAGAUAAAAGAUUUUUUUCUUUUAAUGAUGGUUCUAGAUAAAAGAUUUUUUUAGCAAAAAUAUCGCCAUCGCUACAUAAAAAAGAAAGUAAACAUUUUUUAAAUAUGAUAUUAUAAAAGCACUAGUUACUUUUGUCAUUUGGCUAGCGCAACUACACUAUGAUCUAUUAAAUUUUUUACGAAGACAACCAACCAGCAUUUUCCUUAUCACUAAAGUUUGAGAGUUGCCAUGAUAUCUCCCGAAAUAUUUGGUGACCCGUGGAAUGUAUAUUUUAGUUAAAAAUUUAAAAAUGUAUUUAAACAAAUACAACUUGCAAAACAUAUGAAUAUUCUUCUAUAUAUUUUGUCAUCAAAUGAUCUGCUCGUAGUAAUCCUUGAGUUUCCUAAUAAGAGAUAGUUGAAAGUUUAUCUCACAAAGUGGAAAGCACAUAUUGAUUGUGUGCCCGGAUAAAAACAAAAGAAAUUCACACGCGUAUUUUAUGAUGUCUGAUAUGCACAUACCUUUUCUUUAUUCCGUUUGCCCUUUCCUUAUUCCACUUGGUCCAGGUCUGCCCUUCCUAGCCUACACAAUAUUUACCUUCUCAUCUUUAGCCUUCAAUUCAACUUCCAGCUCAUCUACCCCGUGGCACGCUUGCUAUGCGAACUUCAAAUCAUAUGCCAGCUCAUCCAAUGAGGUGAUUGUACCAAUCAACAAGCCCUCUAGAUCAAAAACAGCGGCACUAAUUAUUUGCCACUUGGCUACCUCCAUUUUUUUUUUGUUUCCACUUCAGGACGUACUACGGCUAGACAAGAUAGAGCAAAUUUUCUUUUACUUUCAAGAACAACCUUCUUCAACCUUACAUCUGCAACUUUGCAGCUUGGAGAACUGCAAAAUAGUAUCUUUCUUUAGCACAGCUGCAAACGCAAGCAGUUUCAGAUAUAUACAUGCCCUUAUCAUUAGCAUAAACAUCCUGAAACAGUAGAAAGGCAUAGCUAUAUAUCAAUACUGCACAUAGGAAAUAACGUGAGAUCAUACUCUUCUCUACUCUCUCCAGUCAGUGAAUUGGAUGAAUACAAAAGGAUUUUGCACUGCAUUUUGUAGCUUUUCUAUAUUUAUGUUGCUAUUAUUUAUAACCAAAGUACAUGAUCAAGGUGGCCAUAGUGACUCCUGAAAAUUAGCCAACAAUGAGCAGCUGAGUACACUUCCUAACUUCUAGGACAAAGCUUGAGUGCUUGAUUGAAAGCAAAGGACUUGGACAACACUGCCAAACAAAGUCUAACGGACUUUUCUGACUCUACUCUGAUAAGCCAACAAACAAAUCUUCAGAAAUGGAAGCAAAGGCCAAACCAAAUAGGGGUUAUUUUUUCCUGAAACCAUACAAGGAAAAACUGAGUAGUGAAUCAGUUAGGGUACUUUACAUUAUAGUGCCUGACAUGAAGUUAAACCCACUAUAGCCCCCCUCUACUUCUGCAAUUGUGAAAAUCUCCUCCCUUCUUGGUUCACAUAACAGAGAAGGCAUCCUCAACCAGCAUUCAUCUUGCUCAAACUAACUAGGGAGAUUUCAACCACAACUACCAUAACCAGCUGCUUCAUUUUUAGCGAGAUUUCAACCACAAGUACCAUAACCAGCCACUUCUGCUUUAGCGAGAUAUUAACCACAACUACCAGAACCACCCGCUUCUGCUUUGGCCUUUGGGGUUGGUAAAGGAUGACGUGGCAGGGCAGGGCAGAGUUGGGUGGUGAUGUGCUUACGGCUAAGCUGAUAAAGUUACAUCAAAUUCUCAAAAUAUUCUUUAAAUUUAAGUCAUAACAUGCAAACCGAUAACGAAAUCUCUACUCACAUGGUGAGUUUGAUGGUUCAAAUUUAACAGGUUUGCUACCAAGUAGGAGUCUACAAAACUAAGCUAGGUUUGCUAUUAGGUAGGGGCAUGGAGAUCAUAAACUAAGAAUCCAAUAGUUCAAAUUAGAUAGGUUCUUGGCAAAUUUGGAGGUUCGGGACUGAGAUGCAUUAAGGUCACAUUUCAAUCGUACAUGGCACUGAAA